This 69-nucleotide transfer RNA is filed under the name Gymnomuraena zebra (zebra moray). Its description in RNAcentral is "tRNA-Phe". It matches the Rfam family "tRNA". From Rfam's summary of the family: Transfer RNA (tRNA) molecules are approximately 80 nucleotides in length. Their secondary structure includes four short double-helical elements and three loops (D, anti-codon, and T loops). The record is from RNAcentral. Lineage: Eukaryota; Metazoa; Chordata; Actinopteri; Anguilliformes; Muraenidae.
GUUAAUGUAGCUUAACAUAAAGCGUGGCACUGAAGAUGCCAAGAUGAGCCGUAAAAGGUUCCAGUGACA